Molecule: ribosomal RNA, 705 nt
Filed under: Prevotella nigrescens
Lineage: Bacteria; Pseudomonadati; Bacteroidota; Bacteroidia; Bacteroidales; Prevotellaceae
Description: bacterial SSU rRNA
Rfam family: Bacterial small subunit ribosomal RNA
Source: RNAcentral
AACGAACGCUGGCGGCAGGCCUAACACAUGCAAGUCGAGCGAGAUCUUCGGGUCUAGCGGCGGACGGGUGAGUAACGCGUGGGAAUAUGCCUCUUGGUACGGAAUAGCCCCGGGAAACUGGGAGUAAUACCGUAUGUGCCCUUUGGGGGAAAGAUUUAUCGCCAAGAGAUUAGCCCGCGUUGGAUUAGGUAGUUGGUGGGGUAAUGGCCUACCAAGCCGACGAUCCAUAGCUGGUUUGAGAGGAUGAUCAGCCACACUGGGACUGAGACACGGCCCAGACUCCUACGGGAGGCAGCAGUGGGGAAUCUUAGACAAUGGGGGCAACCCUGAUCCAGCAAUUCUGUGUGCACGAAGACGGUUUUCGGAUUGUAAAGUGCUUUCAGCAGGGAAGAAGGAAGUGACGGUACCUGCAGAAGAAGCGACGGCUAAAUACGUGCCAGCAGCCGCGGUAAUACGUAUGUCGCGAGCGUUAUCCGGAAUUAUUGGGCAUAAAGGGCAUCUAGGCGGCCUUUCAAGUCAGGGGUGAAAACCUGCGGCUCAACCGCAGGCCUGCCUUUGAAACUGAUAGGCUGGAGUACCGGAGAGGUGGACGGAACUGCACGAGUAGAGGUGAAAUUCGUAGAUAUGUGCAGGAAUGCCGAUGAUGAAGAUAGUUCACUGGACGGUAACUGACGCUGAAGUGCGAAAGCCGGGGGAGCGAACAGG